CCUUGCAUACAUUAUGCGUAAAUAUAUUUUAGUGUACAAAUGUUUUUUUUUUAAUUUUAAAAUAUCUUUCUACGCCAGCUGACUCGACUUUUUUUCAGGUGAGGCGUCCAGGUCCAGAUGGACCAAUCAGAUUAACGGUUACUGGAAUACUUUGAUAGCUUCGCUUUUUUUUUUUUGAUAGCUUCGCUUUGAGAAACGAGUUUAUCAUUGUUGUAUCACUGUAUCAACGCUCUGGAUAAAUAAUAUUACAUUGUAUUUUGGUAAAAAAUUACGUGCCAAACAACUUAAAUGUAUAUUUCCGAGCUCGUCGCGCCUUCAUCUGGAGGAACUCCACUAUUAUAUAUUUUUUAUUUUAUAUUUUUAUUGAAUUUUUUUAUUGAAUAAAAAUAUAAGUGACGUGAUGCUGUCGUUUGGAACUGCACGAGGCCUUGUCUCCUACAGUUUAUCCGGCAGAGGGAAGCAAAGUUUCAUUCAUUGCACCGUCUUGAACCAAAGUAGGGAACGACGACCUGCGACUCCACCCACCUGCCAUACCAUAUGACCGGAAGUAAGGAGAGAUUGAUUCGAGGAGAUUUGCAUAUUUGAUGAAAGAUUAUGAGG
This is a non-coding RNA of Paramisgurnus dabryanus, 600 nucleotides long. Lineage: Eukaryota; Metazoa; Chordata; Actinopteri; Cypriniformes; Cobitidae. The record is from RefSeq and is a predicted model, not a curated record.